Molecule: ribosomal RNA, 494 nt
Filed under: uncultured bacterium
Lineage: Bacteria
Description: partial 16S ribosomal RNA
Rfam family: Bacterial small subunit ribosomal RNA
Source: RNAcentral
GACGAACGCUGGCGGCGUGCUUAACACAUGCAAGUCGAACGGAAAGGCCUGCUUUCCCUUGUGGAUUGCGGGUACUCGAGUGGCGAACGGGUGUGUAACACGUGAGUGAUCUGCCCCCAACUUGGGUAUAAGCCUGGUAAACUGGUUCUAAUUCCCGAUAGGACUGCAGGGUGGUGCCUGUGGUGGAAUACGAUUUUCUAGUGGUUGGGUAUGAGCUCGCGGCCUAUCUGCUUGUUGGUGGGGUAAUGGCCUACCAAGGCGGCGACGGGUAGCCGGCCUGAGAGGGGGGACGGCCAGAUUGGGACUGGGAUACGGCCCAGACUCGUAGGGGAGGCAGCAGUGGGGAAUAUAGCAGAAUGGGCGGAAGCCUGAUGCAGCGACGCCGCGUGGGGGAUGACGGCGUUCGGGUGGUAAACUCCUAGCGACCGAGAGGAAGCCACCUGGUUGGAAGGGUGGUGACGGUAGUGGUAGAAGAAGCACCGGCUAACUACGUG